Non-coding RNA from Oryzias latipes (Japanese medaka), 993 nucleotides. NCBI's taxonomy places the organism in Eukaryota, Metazoa, Chordata, Actinopteri, Beloniformes, Adrianichthyidae. The record is from RefSeq and is a predicted model, not a curated record.
UCAAUGUUUGUCUGAAUAUGGAAUCAAUAGAAAUGUAAGAAGACAUUACAGACUCGAGAUUCUUUCCACACAAAACCCAACGAAUCUCCGAAUCCCCGUUUUUCUCAAACGCAUCGGUCAAACCUCAAGGAAACUGAAAUGACAAGAUGUGUAGAUUGGUUCCGUUUCCCAGAGCGGUGUUGGUGUGUCGUUCAGACUUUGGCCCCCAUCGGUUCUCCAGCUGUUUCUUUAAAAGCUUCAUCUGAAAUCGUUUAACCACCUCCAAGUGUGUCUGACGUGACGCAGAGAAGAUCAGUUAUGGAAGGUUUAAACUGCUUCCUCAGGUCGUCCCCACUGUGAAGGUCAGUUUAUUGGAAAUGUUUUCUUCCCAUUUGGAACUUAAAGGCAGCUUUAAAGCUUGUGAAACAUGAGCGUAACCCCAAAGUGAAUUUAUUUACCCUAAACUGUUUAGCUGUUUAACAAACGUUUGAUAAUGAAGAUAAAAAGGAGGAAAACCACAAAAAGACAACAGUAGAAAUGAUUUUUUUACCAAACUUUAUAAAGUUGAGGGAAGUCCUGGAGCCCCAAACAGACUUAAGGACACAUUAAGGGAAGAAGCUGCAUCAGAUUCUCUUCCAGGCACAUCAGCGUCUCAAUGACAAACGUUUUGGCAGUGAAAGCUCCAGAAGACAGAAGAAGUGCUUUAAGACGUUGGAAUCUCCCAUCCGACACAUGCAGAACGGUCCUGUGCAGCAGCGUUCUGCACUGCUGAAGGUCUGAAGGAUGGACGCAUUUGAACUCAUUCACCAAUGUCCAAAGGUCAAAACCUUAGUGAGGGGGCGGGGCCAGAGCCCAGACCCACUGUGGUUAGUCUAGAACACGUUUGAGUCUCCUGGAAAGUAUCAAACGUACAGAAUCACAGAGAGCAGAAAAUCCCACUAACCAAUCCCUGCUCAGAAUAUGAAAAGCCCCGCCCACAUCACACAAUUUAAAGUAAAAAAAAAAAGUACCAAC